AGUGAACGCUGGCGGUAGGCCUAACACAUGCAAGUCGAACGGCAGCACAGUAAGAGCUUGCUCUUACGGGUGGCGAGUGGCGGACGGGUGAGGAAUACAUCGGAAUCUACUUUUUCGUGGGGGAUAACGUAGGGAAACUUACGCUAAUACCGCAUACGACCUACGGGUGAAAGCAGGGGAUCUUCGGACCUUGCGCGAUUGAAUGAGCCGAUGCCGGAUUAGCGAGUUGGCGGGGUAAAGGCCCACCAAGGCGACGAUCCGUAGCUGGUCUGAGAGGAUGAUCAGCCACACUGGAACUGAGACACGGUCCAGACUCCUACGGGAGGCAGCAGUGGGGAAUAUUGGACAAUGGGCGCAAGCCUGAUCCAGCCAUACCGCGUGGGUGAAGAAGGCCUUCGGGUUGUAAAGCCCUUUUGUUGGGAAAGAAAAGCAGCAGGUUAAUACCCCGCUGUUCUGACGGUACCCAAAGAAUAAGCACCGGCUAACUUCGUG
Molecule: ribosomal RNA, 492 nt
Filed under: uncultured bacterium
Lineage: Bacteria
Description: partial 16S ribosomal RNA
Rfam family: Bacterial small subunit ribosomal RNA
Source: RNAcentral